GAUAUAGAAAACCUUGGAAUUCGAUGCCGGGUGAAUGGAGUACCAAAGCAGAAUGGUAAUACUUCAAUGCUUGUACACAGUGUGGAGAAACUUAUUGUCUUCAUAUCUCGGUUUGUCACUUUGAAGCCUGGAGAUGUAAUUCUAACUGGAACCCCUCUCGGAGUUGGUGUCUUCAGAACCCCUCCAGAAUUUUUAAAGCCUGGUGACGUCGUAGAAUGCGAAAUUGAUGAAAUUGGGACUAUACGCAAUGAAAUUGUUUAACAGAUGGUACCAAGAAGCUGAUGAUUAGAUUUUCAAAAAACUCUUCCUAUUUUCAUAAUUAUUUUUGUUAUUGUUAUAACAAAUUGAUCAUUCAAAGUACAAAUGAAGUAUUGGACUCGAUUUAAUUGGUUAACCCUUCCCUCUGUCCCUACAAUUUGCAGGCCUUUUGCAUAUACUAGAAACAAUUAUUAUUAGUAUUAUUAUUAUUGUAUUUUGAGAGUUUCUCCGUUUCUUUUAGAGAUACAUUGUAAUCUGUUAAGACUGAUACAUUGAUUAGAAGGCAUAUUUUUUUUAAUGGUGAUCUCUGACAACUACAACUGGCCUAUUAUUAUCAUCACCAUCAUCAUCAUCAUCAUUGUUAGCAUGCUGAGCAAAAUGCCACGAAGCAUUUUGCUUUAUGUUCUGAGUUCAAAUUCUGCUGAAGUUAACUUAGCCUUUCAUCCUUUUGAGGGUCAAUAAAAUAAAUACCAGUUGAGCAUUGGGUAUGGAGUCGAUGUAAUUGACUUACCCACUCCCUCGAAAUUGCUGGCCUUGUGUCAAAAUUUGAAGCAAUUAUUAUUGUCAUUAUUAUCAUAGGCAGAAUAAUUAACAUGCCCGACAAAAUGCUUUGGGGCAUUUUGUCUAUGCAUACAUUGAGUUCAAAUUUCUGCUGAGGUCAGCUCGGCCUUCCAUCCUUUAGGGGUCGAUAAAAUAAGUACUAGUUGUUUACUGGGGAAUCGAUGUAAUUGACUUACUCUUUCCUUGAAAUUGCUGGCUUUGUACCAAAAUUUGAAACAAUUAUUAUUAUUAUUAUUAUUAUUAUUAUUAUUAUUAUUAUUAUUAUUAUUAUUAUUAUUAUUAUUAUUAUCAUCAUCAUCAAAGCGGCGAGCUGGCAGAAUCGUUAGCACGCUGGACGAAAUAUUUAGCGGUAUUAGGCCUGCCACUAUGUUCUGAGUUCAAAUUCCGCGAGAUCGACUUUGCCUUUCAUCCUUUCGGGGUCGAUAAAAUAAGUACCAGUUGAACACUGGGGUCGAUGUAAUCGACUCAUCGCCACCUCCUCCAAGUUACCCUUGUGGCAAAAAUUUGAAAUAAUAAUAAUUAUUAUUAAUAAUAUUUGUAUUAUUAUCAUUUAUAUUAAGUAUCAUCAUUAUAAGAUUAUUAACUGUAUCCUGUUACAUGUUUCUCGUAUAUUUAAGAACAAUAAUCCCAACUGUUACCUAGAAAUAUUACUCAAAUACACUUGUGUUGGCAAAAUAAAAAUAUUUUUCUCUUAA
Octopus bimaculoides (California two-spot octopus) is the source of this 1514-nucleotide long non-coding RNA. NCBI's taxonomy places the organism in Eukaryota, Metazoa, Mollusca, Cephalopoda, Octopoda, Octopodidae. The record is from RefSeq and is a predicted model, not a curated record.